GUAGAACCGCCAGUUACGUGGAGACUUCCAGACUUUUACAGACUUGAGUCAGAACAAUCCAACAUGUCCGGCCGGGCUAAUCAAAAUAAUCACAGCAACCAACUCAACCCUACGUCUAGUGCAUUUCAAGGUCACCAACCCGGAUAUGGUGGAACUGGCACACAGGCCGACCUUGCCAACCACAGCAACCAACUCAACCCUAAUUCUUCUGCAUAUCAAGGUCGCCAACCUGGAUAUGGGGGAACCGGCACACAGGCCGACCUUGCCAACCACAGCAACCAACUCAACCCUAACAACCCAAGAUUCCAGUAAGGGAAAAAAUGAGGUUGUCUUUAUCAUAGAUGUGGGCACAUGACAACAAUCCCAGCAUUGUUUUAAACAUUUUUUUUUCAUUUUUAAAUAUGAUACAAUUUGGAUGCAAAAAGAUGAAGAAUAAAGUUUACUACAUCAAAAGAUCAUCUUUAAGACAUAGCAACUACCAUCUAAACAUAUUCAUUCUACAAAGCUCUUCAUUUCUCUUUUUUUAUUUGAUAAAAAAUCCACCCUGUCUUGUUAGUCAAUAAAGUGUGUUUAAUAUUAAAUUUUAGCUCUUAAUU
Physella acuta is the source of this 596-nucleotide long non-coding RNA. RefSeq lists it as uncharacterized. Lineage: Eukaryota; Metazoa; Mollusca; Gastropoda; Physidae. The record is from RefSeq and is a predicted model, not a curated record.